RNAcentral lists this ribosomal RNA (212 nucleotides) under Salmonella enterica. RNAcentral describes it as "partial 16S ribosomal RNA". It matches the Rfam family "Bacterial small subunit ribosomal RNA", at positions 1 to 218 of the family's 1533-position model. Lineage: Bacteria; Pseudomonadati; Pseudomonadota; Gammaproteobacteria; Enterobacterales; Enterobacteriaceae. The record is from RNAcentral.
AAAUUGAAGAGUUUGAUCAUGGCUCAGAUUGAACGCUGGCGGCAGGCCUAACACAUGCAAGUCGAACGGUAACAGGAAGCAGCUUGCUGCUUUGCUGACGAGUGGCGGACGGGUGAGUAAUGUCUGGGAAACUGCCUGAUGGAGGGGGAUAACUACUGGAAACGGUGGCUAAUACCGCAUAAUGUCGCAAGACCAAAGAGGGGGACCUUCGG